This 467-nucleotide ribosomal RNA is filed under the name uncultured bacterium. RNAcentral describes it as "partial 16S ribosomal RNA". It matches the Rfam family "Bacterial small subunit ribosomal RNA", at positions 28 to 507 of the family's 1533-position model. The record is from RNAcentral.
GACGAACGCUGGCGGCGUGCUUAACACAUGCAAGUCGAACGGAAAGGCCUCUUUCGGGGGGUACUCGAGUGGCGAACGGGUGAGUAACACGGGAGUAACCUGCCCUUGACUUUGGGAUAACUUCAGGAAACUGGGGCUAAUACCGGAUAGGAGCUCCUGCUGCAUGGUGGGGGUUGGAAAGUUUCGGCGGUUGGGGAUGGACUCGCGGCGUAUCAGCUUGUUGGUGGGGUAGUGGCUUACCAAGGCUUUGACGGGUAGCCGGCCUGAGAGGGUGACCGGCCACAUUGGGACUGAGAUACGGCCCAGACUCCUACGGGAGGCAGCAGUGGGGAAUAUUGCACAAUGGGUGGAAGCCUGAUGCAGCAACGCCGUGUGCGGGAUGACGGCCUUCGGGUUGUAAACCGCUUUCGCUCAUGACGAAGCUUUGUGUGACGGUAGUGGGUAAAGAAGCACCGGCUAACUACGUG